CUAGUCGUAAACGAUGGAUACUAGGCGUUGUGAGUAUCGACCCUCACAGUGUCGUAGCUAACGCGUUAAGUAUCCCGCCUGGGGAGUACGCGCGCAAGCGUGAAACUCAAAGGAAUUGGCGGGGGCCCGCACAAGCGGUGGAGUAUGUGGUUUAAUUCGAUGCAACGCGAAGAACCUUACCAGGACUUGACAUGUCGCGAAUCUCAGGGAAACUUGAGAGUGCCUUCGGGAGCGCGAACACAGGUGGUGC
Molecule: ribosomal RNA, 250 nt
Filed under: uncultured Chroococcidiopsis sp.
Lineage: Bacteria; Bacillati; Cyanobacteriota; Cyanophyceae; Chroococcidiopsidales; Chroococcidiopsidaceae
Description: partial 16S ribosomal RNA
Rfam family: Bacterial small subunit ribosomal RNA
Source: RNAcentral